Camellia sinensis is the source of this 596-nucleotide non-coding RNA. NCBI's taxonomy places the organism in Eukaryota, Viridiplantae, Streptophyta, Magnoliopsida, Ericales, Theaceae. The record is from RefSeq and is a predicted model, not a curated record.
UAUUUCGUCUCUCCCUCUUCUUCUCUUCCUCUAUGUAACCCUUGAUUUCCAUUAACAACAAGAAACCUCUGUUGGCUUUCAUUGUUGAAUCUAUGUAUAACCCUUGAUUUCCAACAACAACGGAACUACAAGGCUCUGUUGGGUUCCAUCUUUAAAGUGAAGGCAUUCUCUCCAACUAGAUAUUAGAUUUGGGGGAUCAAGUACUAGUGUUGAAGAACUCAAACUUAUUUGAUCGGUAUUUCUUCAACCAUGAAGUCUAGUACUCGUCUCGACUCUACCAUUUUUCAGCUCACGCCCACUCAAACCAGGCAGAAAUGAAGCCAUUUACAGCCAAGAUUGUGGACAUGGUGAAGCAAGAAAACUCUAUGCUUCUCAAGGCGGACCCAUUAUCUUAUCCCAUGUGAUUAUGUUGCCCAUAUAAAACUCACUAUUAUGCUAAUGUCAAAUGGGUCAGAUCGCAUUAUGUCCCAUUCUCUACAGGAGCUCCAACCUACUAAAACAAUAGAUGACCCUGAAAUUAAAGCUUGGUUAGCUUUGGGCACAAAAACAAAGAAGAAAGGUGAAGGGCAAAAGAAGAAAGGUAUGCCAGCAUUAUA